GAUGAACGCUGGCGGCGUGCCUAAUACAUGCAAGUCGAGCGAACGGACGAGAAGCUUGCUUCUCUGAUGUUAGCGGCGGACGGGUGAGUAACACGUGGAUAACCUACCUAUAAGACUGGGAUAACUUCGGGAAACCGGAGCUAAUACCGGAUAAUAUUUUGAACCGCAUGGUUCAAAAGUGAAAGACGGUCUUGCUGUCACUUAUAGAUGGAUCCGCGCUGCAUUAGCUAGUUGGUAAGGUAACGGCUUGCCAAGGCAACGAUGCAUAGCCGACCUGAGAGGGGGAUCGGCCACACUGGAACUGAGCCACGGUCCAGACUCCUACGGGAGGCAGCAGUAGGGACUCUUCCGCAAUGGGCGAAAGCCUGACGGAGCAACGCCGCGUGAGUGAUGAAGGUCUUCGGAUCGUAAAACUCUGUUAUUAGGGAAGAACAUAUGUGUAAGUAACUGUGCACAUCUUGACGGUACCUAAUCAGAAAGCCACGGCUAACUACGUG
RNAcentral lists this ribosomal RNA (497 nucleotides) under uncultured bacterium. Its description in RNAcentral is "partial 16S ribosomal RNA". It matches the Rfam family "Bacterial small subunit ribosomal RNA", at positions 28 to 507 of the family's 1533-position model. The record is from RNAcentral.